GGGUUGUGAGGUUAAGCGACUAAGCGUACACGGUGGAUGCCCUGGCAGUCAGAGGCGAUGAAGGGCGUGCUAAUCUGCGAUAAGCGCCGGUAAGGUGAUAUGAACCGUUAUAACCGGCGAUACCCGAAUGGGGAAACCCAGUGUGACUCGUCACACUAUCAUUAACUGAAUCCAUAGGUUAAUGAGGCGAACCGGGGGAACUGAAACAUCUAAGUACCCCGAGGAAAAGAAAUCAACCGAGAUUCCCCCAGUAGCGGCGAGCGAACGGGGAGGAGCCCAGAGCCUGAAUCAGCAUGUGUGUUAGUGGAAGCGUCUGGAAAGGCGCGCGAUACAGGGUGACAGCCCCGUACACAAAAGCGCAUGUGCUGUGAGCUCGAUGAGUAGGGCGGGACACGUGGUAUCCUGUCUGAAUAUGGGGGGACCAUCCUCCAAGGCUAAAUACUCCUGACUGACCGAUAGUGAACCAGUACCGUGAGGGAAAGGCGAAAAGAACCCCGGCGAGGGGAGUGAAAAAGAACCUGAAACCGUGUACGUACAAGCAGUGGGAGCACCCUUUGGGGUGUGACUGCGUACCUUUUGUAUAAUGGGUCAGCGACUUAUAUUCUGUAGCAAGGUUAACCGUAUAGGGGAGCCGUAGGGAAACCGAGUCUUAACCGGGCGUUAAGUUGCAGGGUAUAGACCCGAAACCCGGUGAUCUAGCCAUGGGCAGGUUGAAGGUUGGGUAACACUAACUGGAGGACCGAACCGACUAAUGUUGAAAAAUUAGCGGAUGACCUGUGGCUGGGGGUGAAAGGCCAAUC
This 800-nucleotide ribosomal RNA is filed under the name Salmonella enterica subsp. enterica serovar Hadar str. SA20026260. Its description in RNAcentral is "bacterial LSU rRNA". It matches the Rfam family "Bacterial large subunit ribosomal RNA", at positions 1 to 834 of the family's 2925-position model. The record is from RNAcentral. Lineage: Bacteria; Pseudomonadati; Pseudomonadota; Gammaproteobacteria; Enterobacterales; Enterobacteriaceae.